This 349-nucleotide transfer-messenger RNA is filed under the name Rickettsiales bacterium. It matches the Rfam family "Alphaproteobacteria transfer-messenger RNA". From Rfam's summary of the family: Bacterial tmRNA, also known as 10Sa RNA or SsrA, is named for its dual tRNA and mRNA-like properties. Its role is to liberate the mRNA from a stalled ribosome. The record is from RNAcentral. Lineage: Bacteria; Pseudomonadati; Pseudomonadota; Alphaproteobacteria; Rickettsiales.
UGACUUGCAUUUUACAGAAGAUUUUAUUAUAAUUGACGCGUCGUGAAAACGAAGACGGCACUGAUCGCGUCAUGCAAUAGAUCUUUUGGACCGGGGGGCGGCACCCCGCAGCUCCACCAAGAAAAUCACGGGGCUGAAACAGAUUCGACAGGGAUUGAAAGAUUGCGCUUGUGUCCCGGGAUGGUUCCCGAAAAAGACCGAAACAAACGAAUGCUAACAACAUUCCCGCGAACGACAAUGUUCGCCUUGCGAUGGCUGCCUAAGGGCAUUGGCGCGAAUGGCGUGAGCUUGACGCGCCGCUUGGCUGUCGCGGGGCCCGUCCGAGCCUGGCACCAGAAUCGGACAUAUU